ACUCCAUGGUGUGGACAUUUUCGUUGCAAAUCCUUGAAUCUUUCCCAGGCAUCAUGAAGCGUUUCAUUGUCACGUUGCUUGAAACUGGUGAUGUCAGUCCUCAGCUU
RNAcentral lists this small nucleolar RNA (107 nucleotides) under Corchorus olitorius. RNAcentral describes it as "Plant small nucleolar RNA R71". It matches the Rfam family "Plant small nucleolar RNA R71". From Rfam's summary of the family: R71 is a member of the C/D box family of snoRNAs containing the C (UGAUGA) and D (CUGA) box motifs. Multiple nearly identical copies of this snoRNA have been identified in Arabidopsis, and it is thought to function as a 2'-O-ribose methylation guide for 18S ribosomal RNA. Lineage: Eukaryota; Viridiplantae; Streptophyta; Magnoliopsida; Malvales; Malvaceae. The record is from Rfam by way of RNAcentral.